UGUUGACCUUAUAUUUUUUUA
Molecule: non-coding RNA, 21 nt
Filed under: Caenorhabditis elegans
Lineage: Eukaryota; Metazoa; Nematoda; Chromadorea; Rhabditida; Rhabditidae
Source: RNAcentral